RNAcentral lists this ribosomal RNA (2901 nucleotides) under Escherichia coli. RNAcentral describes it as "bacterial LSU rRNA". It matches the Rfam family "Bacterial large subunit ribosomal RNA". The record is from RNAcentral. RNAcentral also lists the same sequence under 1 other name. Lineage: Bacteria; Pseudomonadati; Pseudomonadota; Gammaproteobacteria; Enterobacterales; Enterobacteriaceae.
UUAAGCGACUAAGCGUACACGGUGGAUGCCCUGGCAGUCAGAGGCGAUGAAGGACGUGCUAAUCUGCGAUAAGCGUCGGUAAGGUGAUAUGAACCGUUAUAACCGGCGAUUUCCGAAUGGGGAAACCCAGUGUGAUUCGUCACACUAUCAUUAACUGAAUCCAUAGGUUAAUGAGGCGAACCGGGGGAACUGAAACAUCUAAGUACCCCGAGGAAAAGAAAUCAACCGAGAUUCCCCCAGUAGCGGCGAGCGAACGGGGAGGAGCCCAGAGCCUGAAUCAGUGUGUGUGUUAGUGGAAGCGUCUGGAAAGGCGCGCGAUACAGGGUGACAGCCCCGUACACAAAAAUGCACAUGCUGUGAGCUCGAUGAGUAGGGCGGGACACGUGGUAUCCUGUCUGAAUAUGGGGGGACCAUCCUCCAAGGCUAAAUACUCCUGACUGACCGAUAGUGAACCAGUACCGUGAGGGAAAGGCGAAAAGAACCCCGGCGAGGGGAGUGAAAAAGAACCUGAAACCGUGUACGUACAAGCAGUGGGAGCACGCUUAGGCGUGUGACUGCGUACCUUUUGUAUAAUGGGUCAGCGACUUAUAUUCUGUAGCAAGGUUAACCGAAUAGGGGAGCCGAAGGGAAACCGAGUCUUAACUGGGCGUUAAGUUGCAGGGUAUAGACCCGAAACCCGGUGAUCUAGCCAUGGGCAGGUUGAAGGUUGGGUAACACUAACUGGAGGACCGAACCGACUAAUGUUGAAAAAUUAGCGGAUGACUUGUGGCUGGGGGUGAAAGGCCAAUCAAACCGGGAGAUAGCUGGUUCUCCCCGAAAGCUAUUUAGGUAGCGCCUCGUGAAUUCAUCUCCGGGGGUAGAGCACUGUUUCGGCAAGGGGGUCAUCCCGACUUACCAACCCGAUGCAAACUGCGAAUACCGGAGAAUGUUAUCACGGGAGACACACGGCGGGUGCUAACGUCCGUCGUGAAGAGGGAAACAACCCAGACCGCCAGCUAAGGUCCCAAAGUCAUGGUUAAGUGGGAAACGAUGUGGGAAGGCCCAGACAGCCAGGAUGUUGGCUUAGAAGCAGCCAUCAUUUAAAGAAAGCGUAAUAGCUCACUGGUCGAGUCGGCCUGCGCGGAAGAUGUAACGGGGCUAAACCAUGCACCGAAGCUGCGGCAGCGACGCUGAUGCGUUGUUGGGUAGGGGAGCGUUCUGUAAGCCUGUGAAGGUGUGCUGUGAGGCAUGCUGGAGGUAUCAGAAGUGCGAAUGCUGACAUAAGUAACGAUAAAGCGGGUGAAAAGCCCGCUCGCCGGAAGACCAAGGGUUCCUGUCCAACGUUAAUCGGGGCAGGGUGAGUCGACCCCUAAGGCGAGGCCGAAAGGCGUAGUCGAUGGGAAACAGGUUAAUAUUCCUGUACUUGGUGUUACUGCGAAGGGGGGACGGAGAAGGCUAUGUUGGCCGGGCGACGGUUGUCCCGGUUUAAGCGUGUAGGCUGGUUUUCCAGGCAAAUCCGGAAAACUAAGGCUGAGGCGUGAUGACGAGGCACUACGGUGCUGAAGCAACAAAUGCCCUGCUUCCAGGAAAAGCCUCUAAGCAUCAGGUAACAUCAAAUCGUACCCCAAACCGACACAGGUGGUCAGGUAGAGAAUACCAAGGCGCUUGAGAGAACUCGGGUGAAGGAACUAGGCAAAAUGGUGCCGUAACUUCGGGAGAAGGCACGCUGAUAUGUAGGUGAAGUCCCUCGCGGAUGGAGCUGAAAUCAGUCGAAGAUACCAGCUGGCUGCAACUGUUUAUUAAAAACACAGCACUGUGCAAACACGAAAGUGGACGUAUACGGUGUGACGCCUGCCCGGUGCCGGAAGGUUAAUUGAUGGGGUCAGCGCAAGCGAAGCUCUUGAUCGAAGCCCCGGUAAACGGCGGCCGUAACUAUAACGGUCCUAAGGUAGCGAAAUUCCUUGUCGGGUAAGUUCCGACCUGCACGAAUGGCGUAAUGAUGGCCAGGCUGUCUCCACCCGAGACUCAGUGAAAUUGAACUCGCUGUGAAGAUGCAGUGUACCCGCGGCAAGACGGAAAGACCCCGUGAACCUUUACUAUAGCUUGACACUGAACAUUGAGCCUUGAUGUGUAGGAUAGGUGGGAGGCUUUGAAGUGUGGACGCCAGUCUGCAUGGAGCCGACCUUGAAAUACCACCCUUUAAUGUUUGAUGUUCUAACGUUGACCCGUAAUCCGGGUUGCGGACAGUGUCUGGUGGGUAGUUUGACUGGGGCGGUCUCCUCCUAAAGAGUAACGGAGGAGCACGAAGGUUGGCUAAUCCUGGUCGGACAUCAGGAGGUUAGUGCAAUGGCAUAAGCCAGCUUGACUGCGAGCGUGACGGCGCGAGCAGGUGCGAAAGCAGGUCAUAGUGAUCCGGUGGUUCUGAAUGGAAGGGCCAUCGCUCAACGGAUAAAAGGUACUCCGGGGAUAACAGGCUGAUACCGCCCAAGAGUUCAUAUCGACGGCGGUGUUUGGCACCUCGAUGUCGGCUCAUCACAUCCUGGGGCUGAAGUAGGUCCCAAGGGUAUGGCUGUUCGCCAUUUAAAGUGGUACGCGAGCUGGGUUUAGAACGUCGUGAGACAGUUCGGUCCCUAUCUGCCGUGGGCGCUGGAGAACUGAGGGGGGCUGCUCCUAGUACGAGAGGACCGGAGUGGACGCAUCACUGGUGUUCGGGUUGUCAUGCCAAUGGCACUGCCCGGUAGCUAAAUGCGGAAGAGAUAAGUGCUGAAAGCAUCUAAGCACGAAACUUGCCCCGAGAUGAGUUCUCCCUGACUCCUUGAGAGUCCUGAAGGAACGUUGAAGACGACGACGUUGAUAGGCCGGGUGUGUAAGCGCAGCGAUGCGUUGAGCUAACCGGUACUAAUGAACCGUGAGGCUUAACCU